CCUGGGUGUACACUGUCUCCAUCACAUUGUGCUUAAUGUGCCAGCUGCUGAUUUGCUCCAGUAUAACAGAGCCCAGGUCCUAUACCAUGCCAUUUCCAACCACCUGUACACGCCAGAGCACCACCUCAUUCAGGCUGUGCUCCCGUGUCUGCUGGAUUUAUUCCCCAUCCUGGAGAAAACCCUGCACUGGAAAGGAGAUGGAGCUCGACCCACCACCCAUUGUGAUGAGGUCCUGCGGCUGAUCCUGACCCACAUGGAGCCAGAGCACCGCCUUCUUCUACGCAGGACCUACGCAAGAAACCUGCCGGCUUUCGUGAACAGGUUGGGGAUCCUAACUGUCCGGCACUUAAAGAGGCUGGAGAGAGUCAUCAUUGGUUAUCUGGAGGUUUAUGAUGGACCUGAGGAGGAAGCUAGACUGAAGAUAUUGGAAACCCUAAAACUUCUCAUGCAACAUACUUGGCCCAGAGUUUCCUGCAGACUUGUGGUCUUACUGAAGGCCCUCUUGAAACUGAUUUGUGAUGUAGCAAGGGAUCCAAACCUUACACCUGAGUCUGUUAAGAGCGCCCUGCUACAGGAGGCCACAGACUGCCUGAUUCUCCUGGACCGCUGUUCUCAAGGACGGGUAAAGACGUGGACACCAUUAUUAUCAACUUGUUUUCAUAGAAAAGUUGAGUUUCUUGGCACCAGAGCUCCGCAGGGUCGGGACCAGAGGGAGGCAGGCCCGAAACAGCAAAUCGCUCUCAGGCUUCUGCAGUGCACCCAGCACUGCAGGACACCCAGGGUCAGCACCUCCUCAGAUUUUGAGCCCUAAGUACCUCAUUUGCCUUGCCCUAGACCCAGCCCUCCCAAAAUGCUGAAUUACCUCCUUAGGUUUAUUACCUCCUAGACUAGGGCACAAUAAUUUUAUUUGAGUUUUUGGAUUUGGAACUCAGUAGCUUGAAGUCAAUUAGCUUUCCUUUACCAGUGUCUAGUCCGUUUGGGCUACUAUCACAACACACCUUAGUUUGGGUAAUGCAUGAACAACGGAACUCCACUGCUCCCAGUCUGGAUGAUGGGAAGUCCAAGAUCAACAAACACGCUGGCAGAUUCCUCAUCUGUUAGCGUCUGUGCCUCAUACAAGAGACCCUCUAUGUGUCCUCACAUGGCAGAAGCUCUCUCUGGUCUCUUUCAUAAAGACACAGUACAUUUGUAAAUUUAUAUAGACUAUAAAGGCACGAAAUUCACAUAUGAAUUUGGGGCAGGGUACAAACAUUCACACCAUAGCAACCAGUACAAUCUUUUCUUGAAUAAAUGACUUUGACCUUUUUUUUUUUAAAUUUAUUUUAUUUAUUUUUGUAGACAGUCUUGCUCUGUUGCCCAGGCUGGAGUGCAGUGGCUUGAUCUCGGUUAACUGCAGCCUUUACCUCCUGGACUCAAGAGAUCCUCCCACCUCAGCCUCCCAGUAGGUGGGACUACAGGCAUGGGCCACCACACUCGGCUAAUUUUUGUAUUUUUUGUAGAGACAGGGUCCCGCUAUGUUGCUCAGGCUGGUAUCGAACUCCUGGGCUCAAGCGAUCUGCCCGCCUCGGCCUCCCAAAGUGCUGGGAUUACAGGUGUGAGCCGCUGCCACGCCUGGCCUGAAUGGGUGACUGAAUGCGCUCCAGUCCUAGUCCAGUUGGAGAAGCGGAGAGUUU
Molecule: small RNA, 1673 nt
Filed under: Pan troglodytes (chimpanzee)
Lineage: Eukaryota; Metazoa; Chordata; Mammalia; Primates; Hominidae
Description: processed transcript
Source: RNAcentral